UUUCAGGAUGCUUGGGAUGAUCUUGUCCUUCAGGUUGAACUGAGGGUCACAACUUUCAAGUCUUCAAAUUAGAAAUAGAAGAUAUAUUUCUAAUCGAUUGGUAUGGCGGUCCUAAACCUCUCAGUGUGGACGAGUACCUGCAUCCCAAAAUGUAGGUACUGCAGCAGAAAUAAUUUCCUUUAAAUGGCAAUGAUAUAACAUGAUAACCCCCCACCCUAAACAGUAACAAAUGAAUAAAAGUUUUAUGCCAUUUACGAAAUUCUCAUCUAUGAUUUCGUAAUUAAUUUUUAUUCAAUUAUGGUGGGUUAUGUCAUCCACAGGAACAGUUUUGGCUUCAUUGUGUGAAUGCUCUUCUAAGUCAUUUCUAUUUUGGGCUAUCUGCAAAUGCACAUAUUCAUUGGAGCUAUUGUAAAUAUAAGAUAAGUUGUAUAUGUUGUUUCAAAUCUUUGCAUUCCUUCCCAAAUACUCUUGUAUUCUUGUACCAUCGCUAUAUAUCCCUUUGCCAUUUGAGAUGCUUCUCCAAGCAUCGUAAUGUUGAAGAGGAAACAGCGUAAGCUACUGCGGUUAACCCUCUACUUUUAGCUUUUUAUAUAGACAAGCAAAUUGUGUAUACUUGACCAGUGUGGCUAUUAAAUAUGAACAUAUGUUGCAAUGGUUCAGUGUGCCCUAUUUUAUUCGACC
Non-coding RNA from Arachis ipaensis, 681 nucleotides. Lineage: Eukaryota; Viridiplantae; Streptophyta; Magnoliopsida; Fabales; Fabaceae. The record is from RefSeq and is a predicted model, not a curated record.